RNAcentral lists this ribosomal RNA (446 nucleotides) under uncultured bacterium. RNAcentral describes it as "partial 16S ribosomal RNA". It matches the Rfam family "Bacterial small subunit ribosomal RNA", at positions 338 to 795 of the family's 1533-position model. The record is from RNAcentral.
CCUACGGGGCGCAGCAGUCGAGAAUCAUUCACAAUGGGGGAAACCCUGAUGGUGCGACGCCGCGUGGGGGAAUGAAGGUCUUCGGAUUGUAAACCCCUGUCAUGUGGGAGCAAAUUAAAAAGAUAGUACCACACGAGGAAGAGACGGCUAACUCUGUGCCAGCAGCCGCGGUAAUACAGAGGUCUCAAGCGUUGUUCGGAAUCACUGGGCGUAAAGCGUGCGUAGGCUGUUUCGUAAGUCGUGUGUGAAAGGCGCGGGCUCAACCCGCGGACGGCACAUGAUACUGCGAGACUAGAGUAAUGGAGGGGGAACCGGAAUUCUCGGUGUAGCAGUGAAAUGCGUAGAUAUCGAGAGGAACACUCGUGGCGAAGGCGGGUUCCUGGACAGUAACUGACGCUGAGGCACGAAGGCCAGGGGAGCGAAAGGGAUUAGAUACCCUAGUAGUC